CACACUUCCUCCAACAGACACACGUAGUCCUUCAAAGCCACACCUCCACAGAGACCCUUCCUUCUCUGGAGGUAGUUUAAGAUGGUAAUCUGAUAUCACUUCAGGACUUAAACAGAACAGGGUUGGAUGGGUUGUUCGUGGAGGCAGAGAUUCCUUGUUUUGAAUCUAAGCGGGGCUUUUUGUGAUGACUUUGGUGCUUUCUGCAGAACUUUUUUUUUUGUUGUUGUUGUUUAACCAGAACAGUUCCAUAGGCAUUACUUAUGGUCAAAUCAAUGGUUUUUCCAGCAAGGGCUCAUUAAUCAGUUGCUAAGCCGCCACAAAUUACAAGGAAGAAGGAAAACAUCUCCGCAGAGAGGGAAAAGUGAUUAUUUCAGACAAAACUGUGAAGAACAUUAGUCUAGGAGAAAUGCUAUUUUGGUACAAAGACCAGAAAAGUAAUGAUCAGCAGAGGACUGGAUCCGGGAGACUAAAGGUACCGGGAAAGCUAACAGCCAAACAGUGAACCACUGUGUGAUUCAUCCAGCCCAUAUGGAGACUUUGCCAAGGACCUCUUUUCCUCAGAUGAGCAGACCCUUCGAGAGACAAGCAUAUUCUGGUAUCUCUGAUUCAGAAUCUAUGUUUCUGGAUGCAGCUAGAGGCACAGUGCUAAACUUCUUGGCACCUUGGUAUUCUAAGAUGAUGUCACUCUUCUGUGGAUGGAUGGAUUAACUAUCAUGAUACCUACUCAGAGUUUAAGAGCAUCCCGUAAAAGUGAAUCCUGCCAUGAGCAACACGCCAUCCAUCAGCCCCUCCCAACCCACCCUAAUGGAGUCUUCCUUUUCACCUCCUCCUGGAUCUCCAGGGCAGCUUUUCACUCGCCCUUCAUCAGUGAACUUCAUGGAACGGCUCUCAGAAUAUUCUACCAACCCCGUAUUUUCUGGAACAUUGUAGUGAGCUUCAUGCAGAUUGUUGAUCUCUGUGCUCCAAAGAGCUCAGCAAAUUCCCCAGGCUCAGCCCAUGUGCUCUCGACUUUUCUAAUGUCCACCUUGAGACUUAUCUAUCCCUAAAAAUAAUUUAAAAGCACAGGAAAGGAUAAGGUGGAGAAGAAAACCCAAGAAGAGCAAAUUUACUCCUUCUGUGUUUACUGAGUAAAAAUCUAAACAGCCCUAGGGCUCCACCAAACAAGGGUGAGACUGACACAAUGAUUUAAAUGACAUGGUCAAACAAAUAAAUAAAAAGGCGUAAAGGGGAGGUUUGAUAUC
This 1241-nucleotide long non-coding RNA is filed under the name Mus spicilegus (steppe mouse). RNAcentral's name for it is "lncRNA (ENSMSIG00000021236.1)". The record is from RNAcentral. Lineage: Eukaryota; Metazoa; Chordata; Mammalia; Rodentia; Muridae.